Molecule: RNA transcript, 6604 nt
Organism: Mugil cephalus (flathead mullet)
Lineage: Eukaryota; Metazoa; Chordata; Actinopteri; Mugiliformes; Mugilidae
Gene: atp8a1
Gene name: ATPase phospholipid transporting 8A1
Exons: 39
Source: RefSeq, a predicted model, not a curated record
GCAUGGUUCUGUAACCACCAGGAAAUGAAAGUAGUUUAUUCCUCGUUUACAUCUCCUAAUAUCCGUAAACACGCGGCAGUCCGGUCCUCGUGAGAGAGGCUCCUGCAGUUAAUUUCAGCCGUUUUUGUUUUUUUUUUUGAAAUUCUUUUCAUCGGUUGAGAAGAAGCAGAACCAGCCUCCACCUCCACAAGCGGCACCAACCCGACGAGCCGCGGCCGCUUGACAGGUGCUGUCGCCCGGGCUCUGUGUGGAGAGAUGCCGCCCGUCCAGAGAACGAUGUCUGAUCUUCGUACCCGGGCAGAGGGAUAUGAAAAAACCGAGGACACAUCAGAAAAGACAUCCUUGGCCGACCAAGAAGAUGCCCGACUGAUAUAUCUCAACCAGCAACAGUUCACAAAGUUCUGCAGCAAUCGAGUCAGCACUGCCAAAUACAACGUCCUCACCUUCCUCCCUCGAUUCCUUUACUCACAGUUCAGAAGGGCGGCCAACGCCUUCUUCCUCUUCAUUGCACUCUUGCAGCAAAUCCCAGAUGUGUCUCCGACUGGUCGCUGGACCACACUGGUGCCGCUGCUCUUCAUCCUGGUGGUGGCUGCAGUCAAAGAGAUCAUUGAGGACCUGAAACGGCACAAUGCUGACAAUGUUGUCAACAAAAAGGAAUGUCAAGUGCUGAGGAAUGGUGCCUGGGAGAUUGUGCACUGGGAGAAGGUGGCUGUUGGGGAAGUAGUCAGAGCGGCAAAUGGGGAUCACCUCCCGGCUGACCUCGUCAUACUGUCGUCCAGUGAACCACAGGGGAUGUGCUACAUUGAAACAUCUAACUUGGAUGGAGAAACAAACCUCAAAAUCAGACAGGGUCUCCAGAUGACCGCAGAAAUUAAGGAGAUUGACAACCUGAUGCGCCUCUCCGGGCGGAUGGAGUGUGAAAGCCCAAACCGUCAUCUGUAUGAGUUUGUUGGGAACCUGCGCCUGGAUGGACACAGCACGGUACCACUGGGUCCAGACCAGAUCUUACUGAGGGGAGCUCAGCUGAGGAAUACACAGUGGGUCCAUGGUGUAGUGGUGUACACAGGACAUGACACAAAGCUCAUGCAGAACUCCACACGACCUCCCCUGAAGCUGUCCAACGUCGAGCGUAUCACCAACUUUCAGAUCCUGGUUCUGUUUGGCUGCCUGCUGGCCAUCUCUCUGGUCUGCUCCAUCGGCCAAACCAUCUGGAAGUACCAGUACGGCAAUGAUGCCUGGUACAUGGAUCUCAACUCUCCAGAUGGCGGGGCAGCUAACUUUGGUCUCAACUUCCUCACCUUCAUUAUCCUGUUCAACAACCUGAUACCCAUCAGUCUCCUGGUCACAUUGGAGGUUAUCAAGUUCAUCCAAGCCUUUUUCAUCAACUGGGACACUGAUAUGCUGUAUGAGCCCACAAACACGCCUGCCAUGGCCCGCACGUCCAAUCUGAAUGAAGAGUUAGGCCAGGUGAAAUACAUUUUCUCUGACAAGACGGGAACUCUGACUUGCAACGUGAUGCAGUUCAAGAAGUGCACCAUUGCCGGUGUGGCCUAUGGUCACGUCCCUGAGGCUGAGGAGGGUAGUUUUGCAGAGGACGACUGGCACAGCACACACUCAUCAGACGAGGCAGGGUUUAAUGACCCGAGCCUACUGGAAAACCUCCAAAGUAAUCACCCCACAGCUGCUGUUAUCCUGGAGUUCAUGACCAUGAUGGCCAUCUGUCACACUGCCGUCCCCGAGCGCAUGGAGGGAAAAAUCACCUACCAAGCCGCAUCUCCAGAUGAAGGAGCUCUGGUGAGAGCAGCACGAAACCUGGGCUUUGUGUUUUCUGGUCGAACCCCAGACAGCGUCAUUGUGGAAAUGCUCGGAACGGAGGAAAAGUACGAACUGCUUCAUGUGCUUGAGUUCACAAGCGUGAGGAAGAGGAUGUCAGUCAUCAUGCGCACGCCAUCUGGGAAGAUCCGCCUCUACUGCAAAGGAGCUGACACAGUGAUCUAUGACCGUCUGGCAGACAGCUCGAGGUACAAAGAGAUCACAUUGAAGCACCUGGAGCAGUUUGCCACUGAGGGCCUACGCACUCUGUGCUUUGCGGUGGCGGACAUCAGCGAGUCGUCCUAUCAGCAGUGGCACGAGAUCUACCACAGAGCCUGCACCUCCCUGCAGAACAGAGCCCUGAAACUGGAGGAGAGCUAUGAACUGAUAGAGAAGAACCUGCAGCUCCUCGGAGCCACGGCCAUAGAGGACAAGCUUCAGGAUAAGGUGCCUGAGACCAUUGAGACCCUAAUGAAAGCUGACAUCAAGAUCUGGAUCCUGACUGGAGACAAACAGGAAACCGCCAUUAAUAUUGGACAUUCCUGCAAACUACUGACCAAGAACAUGGGCAUGCUCGUGAUCAACGAAGACACUCUGGAUAGAACGAGGGAAACGCUCAGUCACCACUGUGGAAUGCUGGGAGAUGCCCUCUACAAGGAGAACGACUUUGCUCUCAUUAUUGAUGGGAAAACUCUUAAAUAUGCUCUCACGUUUGGAGUGCGUCAGUACUUCCUGGACCUCGCCCUGUCCUGUAAAGCUGUCAUAUGCUGCAGAGUGUCUCCUCUUCAGAAGUCAGAGGUGGUUGAGAUGGUGAAGAAGCAAGUGAAGGUGAUCACUCUUGCCAUUGGUGAUGGUGCUAACGACGUAGGAAUGAUCCAGACAGCUCAUGUCGGUGUGGGAAUCUCCGGCAACGAGGGUCUGCAGGCUGCAAACUCCUCUGACUACUCUAUUGCUCAGUUCAAAUACUUAAAGAAUCUGCUGCUCGUCCACGGAGCCUGGAAUUACAACCGUGUAGCCAAGUGUAUCCUGUACUGCUUCUACAAGAAUAUCGUCCUGUACAUCAUCGAGAUCUGGUUUGCAUUCGUCAAUGGCUUCUCUGGACAGAUUCUGUUCGAACGCUGGUGCAUUGGCCUGUACAAUGUGAUCUUCACUGCUUUACCCCCUCUCACUUUGGGAAUAUUUGAGCGCUCCUGCAGGAAAGAGAACAUGCUGAAAUACCCAGAACUCUACAAAACCUCCCAGAAUGCAAUGGGCUUUAAUACUAAGGUCUUCUGGGCCCAUUGUCUGAACGGCCUCUUCCACUCCGUCAUCCUCUUCUGGUUCCCCCUUAAAGCGUUCCAGCAUGAUACAGUUUUUGGCAACGGAAGAACUCCAGACUAUCUCCUUUUAGGCAACAUGGUUUACACAUUUGUGGUCAUCACAGUUUGUCUUAAAGCUGGUCUUGAAACCUCAUCCUGGACCAUGUUCAGUCACAUUGCCAUCUGGGGAAGCAUCGGCCUGUGGGUGGUGUUUUUCAGUAUCUACUCCUCCCUGUGGCCCCUCAUCUCUCUGGCACCCGACAUGUCAGGCGAGGCGAACAUGAUGUUCAGUUCAGGAGUCUUCUGGAUGGGCCUGUUCUUCAUCCCAGUCACCUCUCUGGUCUUUGACGUGGCCUACAAAGUUGUGAAGAAGGUGUGCUUUAAGACCCUGGUGGAUGAGGUGCAAGAGCUGGAGGCUUUAUCGAAAGACCCUGGAGCAGUGGUGCACGGAAAGAGUUUGACGGAAAGGGCCCAGCUCCUGAAGAACGUCUUCAAGAAGAGCACGGUCAGUCUGUACCGGUCUGACUCCAUGCAGCAGAACCUGCUCCGUGGGGAUGAGACCGUUGUUGUGUGAUUCCUUUUUUAAAUUCAUUACUCAAACCUCACCCCGUUUUUAAAUCUCCAGCCCCUCUGUAGCUCCCAGAUAGACAACACUCUCCUCUCUACUUGUCUCUGACUUCCUGUCCUCCCCCUGGUGUGCCUCCGUGUGUCCUGAGUUGAGCUCAGUAGAGCCAGAUAACGGUGAAAUGAUGAAAUGUUGCGCUGUUAUUCCCCCACAAUGCACUCGCCUCAGCGGGGUCCUUUGAACUUGCCCGCUGGCCUCCAGGUACAGAGCGAGUCAUUUGACACCUGAAGAUGGCUACGCCUUCUCUCAAGACGAGAACGGAGUGGUGUCUCAGUCUGAGGUCAUCAGAGCGUACGACACCACCAAACAAAGGACCAACGAGUGGUGAGCCGCCGGCCUUCUUGUUCCCGGCCGGUCAGUUCGGAGCCACAGCAGCUGUUUCUAAUGGCGACAUUUGAAGCUCAGCGGUGGUGCGAGCAUGUGCCUCCAGCACUGAAGAGGGGUUUGGGACAUGAAACGGACUGAGGAGAGUGACAUUGUGUAGUCUUUGAAAAAGGGAAAAAAAAAAAAAACAAGGAACAAAACAAAAUGUGUUCACUAUCAGCUGUAGUUGUGUGUCCAGCAGACAUGAUGAGCACUGUGCUUUCUUAGCAGUCUGUGGUCUGAAGUUCUUCACUGUUCUCGCUCAGUUUGUCGGAGUGAACCUUUCUAUUCAUUUGAGGAAUGACAGCUUGUAACGCUGAGCCAAAAAGCCUAAAAUCAUUGUGUUAAAUUGAAAUCAAACUCCUAAACACUGUUAUUAUAAAAGUUAAAACACUGGACAAUGAGUCGUUUUAGAGGAUUUGAACUUUUUGAAGGAUUGCCAAAGAGCAGUCGUGUAUACAAUCGUCCAAGUACUAGUGAAUUCGGAAAAACCAAAUAUAAUUAAACUCCUGAGUGUACUCCAGCACUAAACAGACCACUUCAGAGCAGACGUUUGUAAGAUUUUUCAUUUUCUUUUUGCACUUAAGGUAAAGCCUUACAUUUGCUCAUGCCUUCGUCCCUUUUCUUUACUUUUAAAAUGCAUUUCUGUUCCUUUUUCGUUUCGUUUUUAAGUAUGAAGAUAUGUGCCUGGCUUUUCUGUAUUUACCUUUUUUUUUUCUUUCCUUUUUUCUUUCUUUUUUUUUUUUUUUUUAGAAGUUGCCUCCUGCAACAGACAGUAGUCCCACCAUUUUUACAGCAGAGGUAUUGCUCUUCACCUACAAUAGCAUUCCACACAUCAAUCACUCCUGUUUCAACAACAAUCACAACGGUGCCUACAUAAAAAAAACGUUUCCCUCUUAGAAGAAAACGACGGCCAGGAAUAGUUUUUUAGCCAGCUAGCUUAGACCAGUGCUCCACACACACCUACUGAAGACAAACCACUGUCUCCCCACCACAGUAUUGCACUCCUUCAGUGUGAAAACUACAGAUUUGUUCCUGCACAGGUGAAUCGGAGGCUCCCUGAUUGGUCUCGUCGAAGCUGACAGUGGUGGCAGUGUUUCCCUUAAAAUGGAGAUUUUAUCCUUCUAACAUAAGUGCCAUUAGCUUAAGGGAGAGAGAAAAAAAAAAAACAUCAGCCAGGAAACUCCACCACAGUAUCAAAACUACUUUGUCUCUAUAGUUAUUUUGUGGAUUUGUAUUUUUAUAUUGGAGAUGUAUGAAUUUUGCAUCGACUGGCUUUGUAAUGAAUCGUCUGUAACUUUGAGUUUUUUCUUCCUCUGAUAAACUGGCAGGAUAGAAUAGAUCUAACGAGGAAACUGAGCUUUCUUAAAUGUCUUGUUAUUAUUAAUAUUAAUAUUGUUACAGCUUGAUUUAUUUAUAAUUGACUACUUAAUGUCUGUGUGAUUGCUUUCUUCUCCCUAUGGGAGAUCAGAUUUCUGAUGGUGUGAGUGUCAGUUUAUUGCCUGCAUGUGCAUGUGCUGUGUGUGUGUGUGUGUGUGUGUGUGUGUGUGUGUGUGUGUGUGUGUGUGUGCGGGUGUGUGUGUGUGUGUGGUAUGUGUGUGUGGUAUGUGUGUGUGGCACCUUUCUGUGGAUAACCUCUAUGUAUGCACUGCAUGUCUGUGUCCUCUGUGUGAGACUGAGAGUUUCAGGUGCUUCAGUCCUGUCGGUGUGUUUAUUUUAUUGUGUACGAGUGUGUGUGUAUGGCUGCGUGUGUGUUAUGCUUGCUCCAGUUGUCCGUCUGCACGACUCCAGGUAUAGCUAUGGUGUACUGCUGUGUGCGCCGAUGCAUGGCCCGUAUGGGAACGUGAGACUGUGCGUUAUGAUUGUGUGUUUGUGGUCAAACUCUCGGCCUCGACUGUGGGAGUUCCUGACGCUCGGCUCGCUUCGACAGGAGAUGUUGCACAAUGCACUCGAUGUACCUUUCCAGUUGUGGAUAUCUGGUAUUAUCUUGGUUUCGGUAUAUGAUUUCUCUUGAGUGUACAUGUCUGUAACUUGUUUUCUUCAUACAGUGAACUUCUGCUUUACGGGAGAGCUCUUUUGUGUUUAUUUCUCUCUGCUGGUCUUGACCGUGAAAACGUAACCGGUUGUCAUCUCAUCAAAAGUUUGCAACCAGCUGAAUGUGGGUGUCGUCGUCGUGGAAGGCUUGGACUGUUGCUUUCUUUUUUUUUUUCCAGAAAACAUAAAACACACGUUGUUGUCCGUGACGGUCGUGGGCUGCAUGAAUGGAAAACACAAACCGUUCUCUGAAGUGUUAACUGUACUACUUUGAUUCUCCCUCGAGUGUUGAUCACUUAACAAAAGAGGAAAAAAAUGCACCUUUAACUUUUCUUUUGGAUAUUUGGUUCCUUUCUGUCGUUCUGUUCAAUGAUUGUUCUGCAUGUUGGGACUGCAAACUUAUAAGUGUCGUCUUUUACUGCCAUGAAGGACUACUGAAAUAAACUUUACAAUCAUGGAGGAACAAUGGGAA